GAUGAACGCUGGCGGCGUGCUUAACACAUGCAAGUCGAACGAAGCAUUCUAACGGAACAUUUUCGGAUGGGAAGUUAAAAUGACUGAGUGGCGGACGGGUGAGUAACGCGUGGAUAACCUACCAUAUACAGGGGGACAACAGUUGGAAACGACUGCUAAUACCGCAUAAGCGCACAGUGCCGCAUGGCACGGUGAGAAAAACUCCGGUGGUAUAUGAUGGAUCCGCGUCUGAUUAGCUAGUUGAUGAGGUAAUGGCACACCAAGGGAACGAUAAGUAGCCGAACUGAGAGGGUGACCGGCCGCAUUGGGACUGAGACACGGCCCAAACUCCUACGGGAGGCAGCAGUGGGGAAUAUUGCACAAUGGGCGAAAGCCUGAUGCAGCGACGCCGCGUGAGCGAAGAAGUAUUUCGGUAUGUAAAGCUCUAUCAGCAGGGAAGAAAAUGACGGUACCUGACUAAGAAGCCCCGGCUAACUACGUGCCAGCCGCCGCAGUAA
This 497-nucleotide ribosomal RNA is filed under the name uncultured bacterium. RNAcentral's name for it is "partial 16S ribosomal RNA". It matches the Rfam family "Bacterial small subunit ribosomal RNA", at positions 28 to 523 of the family's 1533-position model. The record is from RNAcentral.